CAAGGUGUGCGGUAAGGCACCGGUUUUUGAUACCGGCAUUCCCUGGUUCGAAUCCAGGUACCCCAGCCA
This 69-nucleotide transfer RNA is filed under the name Escherichia coli. RNAcentral's name for it is "tRNA-Gln". The stretch from base 8 to 66 matches the Rfam family "tRNA". Rfam says of the family: Transfer RNA (tRNA) molecules are approximately 80 nucleotides in length. Their secondary structure includes four short double-helical elements and three loops (D, anti-codon, and T loops). The record is from RNAcentral. Lineage: Bacteria; Pseudomonadati; Pseudomonadota; Gammaproteobacteria; Enterobacterales; Enterobacteriaceae.